UAAAAAAUUGAUAAUUUAUUUAUUUAAAACAUAAUUAGAUAAUGAAUAAUAUUUAACAAAUAUAAUAAUGACAUAAUAAUUAAAAUAUAUCACAAAUAAACAAAAAGUAAUACAUUUAUUAUUAAUGAUAUCAAUGUAAAUUAACACCCAUCAGGUGUAAUUUUUAUUAUAUUUUAUAUAUAGAAAAAGAAAAUCCUAAACUUUAGAGAAUAUAAUAUAUUUAGUUCAUCAAAAAAAAAANUAGAAGACAUACUGAAUGAAAUCAAAGACUCCAAGACAGAACAUAUACUUAAACUAAAAUCACUAUUAAUCAAUCAUCUCGUGCCCAAGUAUUAACAUUGUCUACAUCUCAAGUCUCAUCAAUUAAACUUCAACAAAAGCAA
This 383-nucleotide long non-coding RNA is filed under the name Salvia miltiorrhiza (redroot sage). RNAcentral's name for it is "long non-coding RNA (SMIL_LNC011678)". Lineage: Eukaryota; Viridiplantae; Streptophyta; Magnoliopsida; Lamiales; Lamiaceae. The record is from RNAcentral.